CCCCAAAAGCUAGCUUAUGAGGUGAGGAUCGCCCAAGCCAUAUAAGGAGACCAAAGACCUCAAAUACCUCCGAUGUGGGACAACUCAACACUAGUCUUGGCCGGCCUCACCAAAUUUCUUUCUUGUGUGAAUUUUCUCAUCAAAUUCAACAACAACGGCCUCUGACUGAUGUAAGCAUAUAUCUUGACGGCCUUAGCGAAAACUGUAAAAGUAACAAUAGCAAUUUUUUAAGUAAUAGUUUAAUACUAAGUUACUAACUUAAUAGGAUAGGAUAUAAGUAUAAUUAAAGUUAAAGGCUUGAAAGAUAAUUAUAUUAAAGUUACGUGAAGCAUAUGGUUAGACCUGCCAUGUUGUAUGGGGUGAAGUGCUGGCCAGUGAAGAACUCUCAUGUUCAGAGGAUGAAGGUUGCGGAGAUGAGGAUGCU
Molecule: long non-coding RNA, 424 nt
Filed under: Nicotiana benthamiana
Lineage: Eukaryota; Viridiplantae; Streptophyta; Magnoliopsida; Solanales; Solanaceae
Description: long non-coding RNA (NBEN_LNC033173)
Source: RNAcentral